This 77-nucleotide transfer RNA is filed under the name Escherichia coli. RNAcentral's name for it is "tRNA-Arg". It matches the Rfam family "tRNA". From Rfam's summary of the family: Transfer RNA (tRNA) molecules are approximately 80 nucleotides in length. Their secondary structure includes four short double-helical elements and three loops (D, anti-codon, and T loops). Lineage: Bacteria; Pseudomonadati; Pseudomonadota; Gammaproteobacteria; Enterobacterales; Enterobacteriaceae. The record is from RNAcentral.
GCGCCGUUAGCUCAGUUGGACAGAGCAAUUGCCUUCUAAGCAAUCGGUCACUGGUUCGAUUCCAGCUGGCCGCUCCA